Molecule: ribosomal RNA, 254 nt
Filed under: uncultured bacterium
Lineage: Bacteria
Description: partial 16S ribosomal RNA
Rfam family: Bacterial small subunit ribosomal RNA
Source: RNAcentral
UACGAAGGGUCCAAGCGUUGUUCGGAAUCAUUGGGCGUAAAGCGCGCGCAGGCGGAUCAGUAAGUCAGAUGUGAAAUCUCAGGGCUCAACCCUGAAACUGCGUCUGAAACUACUAGUCUAGAGUGUCGGAGGGGGUAGGGGAAUUUCACGUGUAGGGGUAAAAUCCGUAGAGAUGUGAAGGAACACCGGAGGCGAAGGCGCCUGCCUGGACGACUACUGGACGCUGAGGCGCGAAAGCGUGGGGAGCAAACAGG